RNAcentral lists this non-coding RNA (27 nucleotides) under Mus musculus (house mouse). RNAcentral also lists the same sequence under 1 other name. Lineage: Eukaryota; Metazoa; Chordata; Mammalia; Rodentia; Muridae. The record is from RNAcentral.
UGAAAUGCAAGUGCUUCGGCCCUUGGG